UACGUAGGGGGCAAGCGUUGUCCGGAAUCAUUGGGCGUAAAGCGCGUGUAGGCGGUUCGGUAAGUCCGCUGUGAAAGUCGGGGGCUCAACCCUCGGAUGCCGGUGGAUACUGUCGAGCUUGAGUACGGAAGAGGCGAGUGGAAUUCCUGGUGUAGCGGUGGAAUGCGCAGAUAUCAGGAGGAACACCGAUGGCGAAGGCAGCUCGCUGGGACGGUACUGACGCUGAGGCGCGAAAGCGUGGGGAGCGAACAGG
This 253-nucleotide ribosomal RNA is filed under the name uncultured bacterium. RNAcentral describes it as "partial 16S ribosomal RNA". It matches the Rfam family "Bacterial small subunit ribosomal RNA", at positions 524 to 776 of the family's 1533-position model. The record is from RNAcentral.